GUGAUUGUGGGGGAUUUUGGGAUAGUGGUGGUUCCUCGGGAUGGAGCUGACACAGAAAGGAUAAUGAACCAUUCAUCUGUGCUCCGAAAGCAUAAGGACAAUAUAAUCGUGGUAAAGGAUGAAAUCGAUCACCCGAUGUCAGUCGUCAGUUCCACCAAGAGCAGACUGGCUCUUCAGCACGGCGACGGUCACGUGGUGGAUUACCUGAGCCAGCCCGUCAUCGACUACAUCCUGCAGAGUCAGCUCUACAUCAAUGCUUCUGGAUAGGGUGGGGAAGUCCACUUCCGAGCCGUCAGUCAUCCCUGUCUGUCUCUCUGUGUGUAAUCUAGAGUAAAAUCCUCCUGUGCUACCACUGCUUUUCCAUGUAGAGGAGCAUUAAUCUGUCCUCCCCUCUUACUCGUGUCUCACUGGGAUGUACAGCACUGUGCCUGAGGGAUCUGCUCCACCAAUCAGCUUUAAGGGACUGGGUGGGCUUAGGUGCCCAAUAGGAGGAAGAGGAGAGAGCCUCGCUAACACUAUGACAGGAAAAGAGAGUGUUUUUGAUUGAAUUAGAUAAUUCAUUGCCU
Sinocyclocheilus grahami is the source of this 566-nucleotide long non-coding RNA. RefSeq lists it as uncharacterized. The transcript is spliced from 3 exons. Lineage: Eukaryota; Metazoa; Chordata; Actinopteri; Cypriniformes; Cyprinidae. The record is from RefSeq and is a predicted model, not a curated record.